Molecule: ribosomal RNA, 253 nt
Filed under: uncultured bacterium
Lineage: Bacteria
Description: partial 16S ribosomal RNA
Rfam family: Bacterial small subunit ribosomal RNA
Source: RNAcentral
UACAGAGGGUGCGAGCGUUAAUCGGAAUUACUGGGCGUAAAGCGCACGUAGGUGGCGACGUAAGUCGGGUGUGAAAGCCCCGGGCUCAACCUGGGAAUUGCAUUCGAGACUGCAUUGCUGGAGUACGGAAGAGGAGGGCGGAAUUCCCGGUGUAGCGGUGAAAUGCGUAGAUAUCGGGAGGAACAUCGGUGGCGAAGGCGGCCCUCUGGUCCAGUACUGACACUCAAGUGCGAAAGCGUGGGGAGCAAACAGG